UUAAAUUGAAGAGUUUGAUCAUGGCUCAGAUUGAACGCUGGCGGCAGGCCUAACACAUGCAAGUCGAAUGGUAACAGGAAACAGCUUGCUGUUUCGCUGACGAGUGGCGGACGGGUGAGUAAUGUCUGGGAAACUGCCUGAUGGAGGGGGAUAACUACUGGAAACGGUAGCUAAUACCGCAUAACGUCGCAAGACCAAAGAGGGGGACCUUCGGGCCUCUUGCCAUCAGAUGUGCCCAGAUGGGAUUAGCUAGUAGGUGGGGUAACGGCUCACCUAGGCGACGAUCCCUAGCUGGUCUGAGAGGAUGACCAGCCACACUGGAACUGAGACACGGUCCAGACUCCUACGGGAGGCAGCAGUGGGGAAUAUUGCACAAUGGGCGCAAGCCUGAUGCAGCCAUGCCGCGUGUAUGAAGAAGGCCUUCGGGUUGUAAAGUACUUUCAGCGGGGAGGAAGGGAGUAAAGUUAAUACCUUUGCUCAUUGACGUUACCCGCAGAAGAAGCACCGGCUAACUCCGUGCCAGCAGCCGCGGUAAUACGGAGGGUGCAAGCGUUAAUCGGAAUUACUGGGCGUAAAGCGCACGCAGGCGGUUUGUUAAGUCAGAUGUGAAAUCCCCGGGCUCAACCUGGGAACUGCAUCUGAUACUGGCAAGCUUGAGUCUCGUAGAGGGGGGUAGAAUUCCAGGUGUAGCGGUGAAAUGCGUAGAGAUCUGGAGGAAUACCGGUGGCGAAGGCGGCCCCCUGGACGAAGACUGACGCUCAGGUGCGAAAGCGUGGGGAGCAAACAGGAUUAGAUACCCUGGUAGUCCACGCCGUAAACGAUGUCGACUUGGAGGUUGUGCCCUUGAGGCGUGGCUUCCGGAGCUAACGCGUUAAGUCGACCGCCUGGGGAGUACGGCCGCAAGGUUAAAACUCAAAUGAAUUGACGGGGGCCCGCACAAGCGGUGGAGCAUGUGGUUUAAUUCGAUGCAACGCGAAGAACCUUACCUGGUCUUGACAUCCACGGAAGUUUUCAGAGAUGAGAAUGUGCCUUCGGGAACCGUGAGACAGGUGCUGCAUGGCUGUCGUCAGCUCGUGUUGUGAAAUGUUGGGUUAAGUCCCGCAACGAGCGCAACCCUUAUCCUUUGUUGCCAGCGGUCCGGCCGGGAACUCAAAGGAGACUGCCAGUGAUAAACUGGAGGAAGGUGGGGAUGACGUCAAGUCAUCAUGGCCCUUACGACCAGGGCUACACACGUGCUACAAUGGCGCAUACAAAGAGAAGCGACCUCGCGAGAGCAAGCGGACCUCAUAAAGUGCGUCGUAGUCCGGAUUGGAGUCUGCAACUCGACUCCAUGAAGUCGGAAUCGCUAGUAAUCGUGGAUCAGAAUGCCACGGUGAAUACGUUCCCGGGCCUUGUACACACCGCCCGUCACACCAUGGGAGUGGGUUGCAAAAGAAGUAGGUAGCUUAACCUUCGGGAGGGCGCUUACCACUUUGUGAUUCAUGACUGGGGUGAAGUCGUAACAAGGUAACCGUAGGGGAACCUGCGGUUGGAUCACCUCCUUACCUUAAAGAAGC
RNAcentral lists this ribosomal RNA (1556 nucleotides) under Escherichia coli. RNAcentral's name for it is "bacterial SSU rRNA". It matches the Rfam family "Bacterial small subunit ribosomal RNA". Lineage: Bacteria; Pseudomonadati; Pseudomonadota; Gammaproteobacteria; Enterobacterales; Enterobacteriaceae. The record is from RNAcentral.